AUUUAGUGGGGCGCUUGAUGGGUCGUCUGAUUAAAUUUUACUUGCAAAAUUAAUUCAGAUUGUCUUGGCUGGGUGCUCCUGUCGCCCAGACAGCAGAGAGGCUGGGAAACUGUAAACUAGUGGUCAAGAGAAGAAGCUGGUGAUGGUGGGAGUGCAGCGCCAGAGGCAGGUGACUUCAUCAGCAGGAGGUACUGUUUUCUUCCACCAACGCAACCGAGCCCGCGUGAGCAGAGGGCAGGCAGCUGGGAGGGGCGCCGUGCUGAACCAAGUCUCCAUGGGAAGAGGGUUCUUUGUCCCACGGUGAUGGUCAGAAGGUGUUAGCCGAGGGCAGAGGCCAGGGAGGCAAAAUAACUUCGGAGGGCUCCUCCCAGUCCCUGAAUCCUCUGUGGUCAUAACACAUGGCCCACACUGCUACAGCCAGGAGAGAAAGAGUCAGCCCGGACUCCUGAAUGCUGUCAGCAGGCAGCUCCAAGAACACGGCCGAUGGCCUUGCAGUCGGGGUUGAUUUACACCUCAGACAGGCCACCUUGGCACAGCAGUAGUUGGAGGUCGGGCCCUCCUGAGAGCAGGCUGCUGUCUGUACCAGGCCGGCUCCAAUGAUGGAGUCAGCUCACACCAGGAAGAGGAGGUCCACUGGGAGGCGAGGUCCCCAGGACAGGGUCCCUGUGCCACCAGAGGGGAUGGAGAGUGAUGAAUGAGCAGGAAUCAGCGGCCAGUGCAGAGUGGAGAGAAAUUCACACAGGGCUGGGAACGAGACUGCCGGUCACCAUUAAUGGAGGAGCACAGAGGAGAUGAAUUACUGUAAUUAUGAACCUAUGGAGCACAGUUUUUUUUAAAGUGUCCUCCCGUGUAUGUACACAGUAGGUGAGGGGGUGGGUUUUCCUCCUAAAACAAAGCACAGGGGUUUAAGCCCCAGAUACUGAGGAUAUAUGCAGAAACCUAGUGACUUUUAAAGAGUGAGUGAACCGAAAGGAAACCAGGAAGCUCCCAAAAAAAAGCAGGCACUGGAUCCCUACCUCUUUGUGGAGUUGGCAGGAGGCACCGAACGUUUCGGGAGGCGACCAAAGAGCCAGGCUGACUGCUCGCACUUUAAUUUUAUAACCACAAGCUUCAGACAGGCACUCAGCAUCACCCUGUACUCCUCCUACAGAUCCCAGUCACUCCGGUCCUUCCAGUCCACCCACAGCAGUCUUGUUGAUCCUGCACCAGCUACCCCAGGACUCUGCUGGCAUCAUCUGCCCACUCUGCCAUGACCACCCGAGUUUAAGCCUCUCCUCCGCCCACCUGAACAGCUACAACAGCCUCUCGAGGAGUCCCCUGCUUCCACUCAUGCCACUCAAGAGUCCAUUCUCCACCGGCAGCCAGAGGCAUCUUUUCAACAUGUAAAUGAGAUCAUGUGCUCCUCAGCUCAAAAUCCUUUAAUAGCUUUUCAUUGCACUUGGAACCGAAUCCAUUGCAAGUGACAGAAAACCCAACUCAAACUGGCUUAAAUGAUAAAGACUAAAUUAUUGAUAGCAAAAUGUCUGAAGACCUCAUAUUUUCGCACCUCAAUAUCCAAGGGAGCCUUUUCUACCAUGAAGGGCCCUGAAGGCCAGGAACGGCCCUGAAUCUGACUGGCAUUCUCUGACCCUGGGCAUCUGUUCUCGUACAGGUUUCCCUGGUCUUCCCUCAUUUCAUGGCAGCUGCUUGUCCCAGAUCCUCCUCUGCACCCCAGCUCCACCGGCUGCCCACAGCCACCCUCCUCAGCCUCUGCACAUUCCAGUCCCAGGCUUCUGCUCUGAGCCCAGCAGCAUCUUGUGGCAAAUAACCUUUCCCAGGUGGCGCUAGUGGUAAAGAAUCCGACUGGCAAUUCUGGAGACAUAAGAGAUGUGGGUUCUAUCCCUGGGUCAUGAAGAUCCCUUGGAGGAGGACAUGGCAACCCACUCCAGUAUUCUUGCCUGGAGAAUCCCAUGAACAGAGGGCCCUGGAGGGCUGCAGUCCAUGGG
Long non-coding RNA from Bos taurus (domestic cattle), 1985 nucleotides. NCBI's taxonomy places the organism in Eukaryota, Metazoa, Chordata, Mammalia, Artiodactyla, Bovidae. The record is from Ensembl.